ACUACUACUCUAGAGUAUGGGAGAGGUAGGUGGAAUUCUUGCUGUAGGGGUAAAAUCCGUAGAGAUCAAGAGGAAUACUCACUGCGAAGGCGACCUGCUGGAACAUUACUGACGCUGAUGCGCGAAAGCGUGGGGAGCAAACAGGAUUAGAUACCCUGGUAGUCCACGCCNUAAACGAUGAAUGCUAGUUGUUGUGAGGCUUGUCCUUGCAGUAAUGCAGCUAACGCAUUAAGCAUUCCGCCUGGGGAGUACGGUCGCAAGAUUAAAACUCAAAGGAAUAGACGGGGACCCGCACAAGCGGUGGAGCAUGUGGUUUAAUUCGAAGAUACGCGAAGAACCUUACCUAGGCUUGACAUUGAUAGAAUCUGCUAGAGAUAGCGGAGUGCUGGCUUGCCAGAGCUUGAAAACAGGUGCUGCACGGCUGUCGUCAGCUCGUGUCGUGAGAUGUUGGGUUAAGUCCCGCAACGAGCGCAACCCUCGUCCUUAGUUGCUAGCAGUUCGGCUGAGCACUCUAAGGAGACUGCCUUCGUAAGGAGGAGGAAGGUGAGGAUGACGUCAAGUCAUCAUGGCCCUUACGCCUAGGGCUACACACGUGCUACAAUGGGGUGUACAAAGAGAAGCAAUACUGCGAAGUGGAGCCAAUCUCUAAAACAUCUCUCAGUUCGGAUUGUAGUCUGCAACUCGACUACAUGAAGCUGGAAUCGCUAGUAAUCGCAAAUCAGCCAUGUUGCGGUGAAUACGUUCCCGGGUCUUGUACUCACCGCCCGUCACACCAUGGGAGUUGUAUUCGCCUUAAGUCGGAAUACUAAACUAGUUACCGCCCACGGCGGAUGCAGCGACUGGGGUGAAGUCGUAACAAAGGUAGCCGUAAGCC
Molecule: ribosomal RNA, 874 nt
Filed under: uncultured bacterium
Lineage: Bacteria
Description: bacterial SSU rRNA
Rfam family: Bacterial small subunit ribosomal RNA
Source: RNAcentral